This 479-nucleotide long non-coding RNA is filed under the name Bos taurus (domestic cattle). RNAcentral's name for it is "long non-coding RNA NONBTAT016959". Lineage: Eukaryota; Metazoa; Chordata; Mammalia; Artiodactyla; Bovidae. The record is from RNAcentral.
UUUUUUACUCUUAAGUCAUAUUCUAAAACAAAUGAAAGAGUUACCAUGGGAGAAAUUACUAUGAAUGUGGUGAAUAUUGUUAAUAAGACAACUUAAAAUGAAUACAUGUGGAAGAAACCCUACUAAUAUAUGUAGGGAGUGUGUGGAAAUAUAAAUUAAGGCUUAUUAAAUAACUUCAGUAGGAGAUAAUCUUAUGAAUCAAACAGAUGUGAGAAAAUUUUCUUCUAGAAGUUGGCCACUACUAAUAGAUAUACCACACCUGGGGGAAGCUGUCAACAUCUUAUAUGUUUUUUGAGACCUUCAUACACAAGUUGUACUUAUUGCAUGUCAGGUAAAUAAUAGGGAUGAUAUCAAUAACCCAGCCUAUGUUAAAAAAUGCCAUUUUAUUGAACAAGAAAAUUGAUACUAAGUUGAAAUCUUAAAGAUUUUUUGAAUGUGAUGGUUUUAACAGAAUUCAGAUUUUAUUAUAGCUGAAGUUU